UAGAGUUAGAUCCUGGCUCAGGACGAACGCGGGCGGCGUGCGUAAUACAUGCAAGUCGAGCGGACAGAAGGGAGCUUGCUCCCGGAUUUUAGCGGCGGACGGGUGAGUAACACGUGGGUAACCUGCCGUAAGACUGGGAUAACUCCGGGAAACCGGAGAUAAUACCGGAUAGUUCCUUGAACCUCAUGGUUCAAGGAUGAAAGACGGUUUCGCCUGUCACUUUCAGAUGGACCCGCGGCGCAUUAGCUAGUUGGGGGGUAAUGGCUCACCAAGGCGACGAUGCGUAGCCGACCUGAGAGGGUGAUCGGCCACACUGGGACUGAGACACGGCCCAGACUCCUACGGGAGGCAGCAGUAGGGAAUCUUCCGCAAUGGACGAAACCUGACGGAGCACACGCCGCGUGAGUGAUGAAGGUUUUCGGAUCGUAAAGCUCUGUUGUUAGGGAAGAACAAGUGCGAGAGUAACUGCUUGCACCUUGACGGUACCUAACCAGAAAACCACGGCUAAUUCGUGCCAGCAACCGCGGUAAUACGUAGGUGGCAAGCGUUGUCUGGAAUUAUUGGGCGUAAAGGGCUCGCAGGCGGUUUUUUAAGUUUGAUGUGAAAGCCCCCGGCUCAACCGGGGAGGGUCAUUGAAACUGGGAAACUUGAGUGCAGAAGAGGAGAGUGGAAUUCCCCGUGUAGCGGUGAAAUGCGUAGAGAUUUGGAGGAACUCCAGUGGCGAAGGCGACUCUCUGGUCUGUAACUGACGCUGAGGAGCGAAGCGUGGGGAGCGAACAGGAUUAGAUACCCUGGUAGUCCACGCCGUAAACGAUGAGUGCUAAGUGUUAGGGGGUUUCCGCCCCUUAGUGCUGCAGCUAACGCAUUAAGCACUCCGCCUGGGGAGUACGYCGCAAGACUGAAACUCAAAGGAAUGACGGGGCCCGCACAAGCGGUGAGCAUGUGUUAAUUCGAAGCAACGCGAAACCUUACCAUGGUCUUGACAUCCUCUGACUACCCUAAAAAUAGGGCUUUCCUUCGGGGACAGAGUGACAGGUGGUGCAUGGUUGUCGUCAGCUCGUGUCGUGAAAUGUUGGGUUAAGUCCCGCAACGAGCGCAACCCUUGAUCUUAGUUGCCAGCAUUUAGUUGGGCACUCUAAGGUGCUGCCGGUGACAAACCGGAAGAAGGGGGGGAUGACGUCAAAUCAUCAUGGCCCUUAUGACCUGGGCUACCCACCUGCUACAAUGGACAGAACAAAGGGCUGCAAAACCCCAAGGAUUAACCAAUCCCUAAAUCUGUUCUCAAUUCCGAUCGGAGUCUGCAACUCCACUGCCUGAAGCUGGAAUCCCUAAUAAUCGCGGAUCAGCAUGCCGCGGUGAAUACGUUCCCGGGCCUUGCACACCCC
This 1385-nucleotide ribosomal RNA is filed under the name Bacillus sp. (in: firmicutes). RNAcentral describes it as "bacterial SSU rRNA". It matches the Rfam family "Bacterial small subunit ribosomal RNA". Lineage: Bacteria; Bacillati; Bacillota; Bacilli; Caryophanales; Bacillaceae. The record is from RNAcentral.